RNAcentral lists this ribosomal RNA (944 nucleotides) under Xanthorhoe hortensiaria. RNAcentral describes it as "partial 16S rRNA". Lineage: Eukaryota; Metazoa; Arthropoda; Insecta; Lepidoptera; Geometridae. The record is from RNAcentral.
AAAGAGUUAAUUAAUUAAUAAAGUUAAAGUUGGAAAAUUAUUUUAAAUAAUUAAUUAGAAAUGAAAUGUUAUUCGUUUUUAAAUAUAUCUAGUUUUUUUAGAAAAGAAUUUAAUUUUGAAUUUUUUGGGGGGAAAAUUAAUUAAUAAAUUUUUUUUUAAUAAAAUUUUAUAUUUUAAGGGAUAAGCUUUAAAUUAAAAAAUUAUAAUAUACAUAUAAAUUUUAUUGAAAAUUUUAUAAUUUAAAUUGUUAAAAAAUUUUAAUUUAUUAUAAAUAAUUUCCUUAAUAAUAAAAUUUAAUUUAAUUUAAUUUUUUAUAAAAAAGUGAAUUUUAAUUUUUAAAAUUUAGUAAUAAUGAUAAAAUUAGUAUAAUAAUAAUAAUAUAAUUAAUUAUUUAAUUAAUAAAAAUAAUAAAAAGGAAUUCGGCAAAAAUUUAUAUUCACUUGUUUAACAAAAACAUGUCUUUUUGAGUUUAUAUAAAGUCUAAUCUGCCCACUGAUAUAAAAUUAAAGGGCUGCAGUAUAUUGACUGUACAAAGGUAGCAUAAUCAUUAGUCAUUUAAUUGAUGACUUGUAUGAAAGAUUGAAUGAAAUAUAAACUGUCUCUUUAUUAAUUUAUAGAAUUUAAUUUUUUAAUCAAAAAGUUAAAAUAUAUUAAAAAGACGAGAAGACCCUAUAGAGUUUUAUAAAUAGAUUUAUUAGAAGUUAUUUUUAAAUUUUAUAAUUUUAAUAUAUUUUUUUAUUUUAUUGGGGUGAUAGAAAAAUAUAAAAAACUUUUUUUUUUUAUUACAUAAAUAAGUGAUUAAAUGAUCCAUUAAUAAUGAUUAUAAGAAAAAAUUACCUUAGGGAUAACAGCGUAAUUUUUUUUUUUAGUUCAAAUAAGAAAAAAAGUUUGCGACCUCGAUGUUGGAUUAAGAUAAAAUUUAAAUGCAAAAGUUUAAAAUUUUG